Molecule: non-coding RNA, 136 nt
Organism: Triticum aestivum (bread wheat)
Lineage: Eukaryota; Viridiplantae; Streptophyta; Magnoliopsida; Poales; Poaceae
Source: Rfam
UGUGUACUUCCUCCGUUCCAAAAUACUUGACUUCCAUUUGUCCAAAAAUGGAUGUACCUAUAUACUAAAACAUGUCUAGAUACAUAUAUAUUUUGACAAAUAGAAGGCAUGUAUUGUGCAACGGAGGGAGUAGAAU